This 613-nucleotide small RNA is filed under the name Pongo abelii (Sumatran orangutan). RNAcentral's name for it is "retained intron". The record is from RNAcentral. Lineage: Eukaryota; Metazoa; Chordata; Mammalia; Primates; Hominidae.
UGACCCCGUUGGGGACAUUGUUUCAUUUAUGCACUCUUUUGAAGAGAAAUAUGGGAGGGCACACCCUGUCUUCUACCAGGGAACGUACAGCCAGGCACUUAACGAUGCCAAACGGGAGCUUCGCUUUCUUUUGGUUUAUCUUCAUGGAGAUGAUCACCAGGACUCUGAUGAGUUUUGUCGGUAAGUGGAUUGAUCAUUUUCUUUCUCUUUUCUGACUCUUUCUGGUGACAGUUUGUAGUCAGCAAGUUGUUCUCAUGUCCUUUUCAUACCUUUCCACAGCAACACACUCUGUGCACCUGAAGUUAUUUCACUAAUAAACACUAGGAUGCUCUUCUGGGCAUGCUCUACAAACAAACCUGAGGGAUACAGGGUCUCACAGGCUUUACGAGAGAACACCUAUCCAUUCCUGGCCAUGAUUAUGCUGAAGGAUCGAAGAAUGACUGUGGUGGGACGGCUAGAAGGCCUCAUUCAACCUGAUGACCUCAUUAACCAACUGACAUUUAUCAUGGAUGCUAACCAGACUUACCUGGUGUCAGAACGCCUAGAAAGGGAAGAAAGAAACCAGACCCAAGUGCUGAGACAGCAGCAGGAUGAGGCCUACCUGGCCUCUCUC